CGUAGGGUGCGAGCGUUAAUCGGAAUUACUGGGCGUAAAGCGUGCGCAGGCGGUGCACCAAGCUCGAUGUGAAAGCCCCGGGCUUAACCUGGGAAUUGCAUUGAGGACUGGUGUGCUCGAGUGCGGCAGAGGGGGGUGGAAUUCCACGUGUAGCAGUGAAAUGCGUAGAGAUGUGGAGGAACACCGAUGGCGAAGGCAGCCCCCUGGGCCGACACUGACGCUCAUGCACGAAAGCGUGGGGAGCAAACAGGAUUAGAUACCCUGGUAGUCCACGCCCUAAACGAUGUCAACUGGUUGUUGGGGAAGGAAACUUCCUUAGUAACGAAGCUAACGCGUGAAGUUGACCGCCUGGGGAGUACGGCCGCAAGGUUA
RNAcentral lists this ribosomal RNA (372 nucleotides) under uncultured organism. RNAcentral's name for it is "bacterial SSU rRNA". It matches the Rfam family "Bacterial small subunit ribosomal RNA", at positions 526 to 896 of the family's 1533-position model. The record is from RNAcentral.